GGCUCUGCUAUCGCUUUUGGAUGGACCCGCGGCGUAUUAGCUAGUUGGUGNNGUAAUAGCUCACCAAGGCAAUGAUACGUAGCCGACCUGAGAGGGUAAUCGGCCACAUUGGGACUGAGACACGGCCCAAACUCCUACGGGAGGCAGCAGUAGGGAAUCUUCCACAAUGGGCGAAAGCCUGAUGGAGCAAUGCCGCGUGAGUGAAGAAGGUUUUCGGAUCGUAAAACUCUGUUGUUGAAGAAGAACAUGCGUGAGAGUAACUGUUCACGUACUGACGGUAUUCAACCAGAAAGCCACGGCUAACUACGUGCCAGCAGCCGCGGUAAUACGUAGGUGGCAAGCGUUGUCCGGAUUUAUUGGGCGUAAAGAGAAUGUAGGCGGUUUAUUAAGUUUGAAGUGAAAGCCCUCGGCUCAACCGAGGAAGUGCUUCGAAAACUGGUAAACUUGAGUGCAGAAGAGGAAAGUGGAACUCCNUGUGUAGCGGUGGAAUGCGUANAUAUAUGGAAGAACACCA
RNAcentral lists this ribosomal RNA (514 nucleotides) under Lactiplantibacillus plantarum. RNAcentral describes it as "bacterial SSU rRNA". It matches the Rfam family "Bacterial small subunit ribosomal RNA", at positions 202 to 711 of the family's 1533-position model. Lineage: Bacteria; Bacillati; Bacillota; Bacilli; Lactobacillales; Lactobacillaceae. The record is from RNAcentral.